CAGUCCGUAAUAAAUAAAUUGUGGACUGUAUAAUUUAAAAUAAGAUACAAAGGACCGUGAGUAAACCAAUUUAAUUAAUCUUCCCGAUUUAUUUGGUCAUCAAUCGGCUUUAAUUAAUUUUUUGAUUAAAGAUUCUGUAAAGAUUAUCCUCCUCCGUGAAAAUAUAUUCCUCCUCUGUGAUCUGCAAAAAUAUGCCAAAUAAAUUAAAUCAAAAAUAAGGAAGAAAAAUUAUUAGAAUUUGAAAACUCUCCCCUCAACCCACGUAAAAGAAAAACCGUUCCCCAAAUCUCUCCAACCUCUCAACCAAAUCUUCUUCCUUUAAAAUUUCUGCUCCUCUAUAAUAGUUGCUGCACCAUUCGUUCCUCCCAUCUCUGCAGCAAAACAAGGAUUUUUCCUCAAAUUCCUACUCAAGGACCGAGACAGAGAUUCAAGAACCACUCUUUUCAAAUUGAGAAACCAAGAAUCCAAAUUCAGGGAGGAGAAACCAACAGCCUUGAUCUUUUUGCAUGAGCCGACCUGUUCAGUGAAGGUGAAUCAUCGCAAGUGAAUCGUGAGACCAAAGGGAAGAGAGUACUUGAGAUUUUAAGCGAUCGAGGUUGAGCGGCGACGAGGAUGUGGUGGUGUUGAGCAAGUGAAUUUAAGAUAUUAUU
Salvia splendens (bonfire salvia) is the source of this 650-nucleotide long non-coding RNA. RefSeq lists it as uncharacterized. Lineage: Eukaryota; Viridiplantae; Streptophyta; Magnoliopsida; Lamiales; Lamiaceae. The transcript has 5 exons. The record is from RefSeq and is a predicted model, not a curated record.